UCCUGGGUAGCUCAGUGGUAAAGAAUCUGCCUGUCAAUGCAGGAGACUCAGGUUCGAUCCCUGGGUCAGGAA
Molecule: non-coding RNA, 72 nt
Organism: Bos taurus (domestic cattle)
Lineage: Eukaryota; Metazoa; Chordata; Mammalia; Artiodactyla; Bovidae
Source: Rfam